GUAGGUGGCAAGCGUUGUCCGGAAUUAUUGGGCGUAAAGCGCGCGCAGGCGGUUCUUUAAGUCUGAUGUGAAAGCCCACGGGCUCAACCGUGGAGGGUCAUUGGAAACUGGAGAACUUGAGUACAGAAGAGGAAAGCGGAAUUCCACGUGUAGCGGUGAAAUGCGUAGAGAUGUGGAGGAACACCAGUGGCGAAGGCGGCUUUCUGGUCUGUAACUGACGCUGAGGCGCGAAAGCGUGGGGAGCAAACAGGAUUAGAUACCCUGGUAGUCCACGCCGUAAACGAUGAGUGCUAAGUGUUAGGGGGUUUCCGCCCCUUAGUGCUGCAGCUAACGCAUUAAGCACUCCGCCGGGGGAGUACGGCCGCAAAGGCUG
This 373-nucleotide ribosomal RNA is filed under the name uncultured organism. RNAcentral's name for it is "partial 16S ribosomal RNA". It matches the Rfam family "Bacterial small subunit ribosomal RNA", at positions 527 to 896 of the family's 1533-position model. The record is from RNAcentral.